GAUGAACGCUGGCGGCGUGCCUAAUACAUGCAAGUCGAGCGAACGGACGAGAAGCUUGCUUCUCUGAUGUUAGCGGCGGACGGGUGAGUAACACGUGGAUAACCUACCUAUAAGACUGGGAUAACUUCGGGAAACCGGAGCUAAUACCGGAUAAUAUUUUGAACCGCAUGGUUCAAAAGUGAAAGACGGUCUUGCUGUCACUUAUAGAUGGAUCCGCGCUGCAUUAGCUAGUUGGUAAGGUAACGGCUUACCAAGGCAACGAUGCAUAGCCGACCUGAGAGGAGGAUCGGCCACACUGGAACUGAGACACGGUCCAGACUCCUACGGGAGGCAGCAGUAGGGAAUCUUCCGCAAUGGGCGAAAGCCUGACGGAGCAACGCCGCGUGAGUGAUGAAGGUCUUCGGAUCGUAAAACUCUGUUAUUAGGGAAGAACAUAUGUGUAAGUAACUGUGCACAUCUUGACGGUACCUAAUCAGAAAGCCACGGCUAACUACGUG
RNAcentral lists this ribosomal RNA (497 nucleotides) under uncultured bacterium. Its description in RNAcentral is "partial 16S ribosomal RNA". It matches the Rfam family "Bacterial small subunit ribosomal RNA", at positions 28 to 507 of the family's 1533-position model. The record is from RNAcentral.